CAACUUUCAACAACGGAUCUCUUGGCUCUCGCAUCGAUGAGGAACGUAGCGAAUUACGAUAUGUAAUGUGAAUUGCAGAAUUCAGUGAAUCAUCGAAUCUUUGAACGCACCUUGCGCUCUUUGGUAUUCCGAAGAGCAUGCCUGUUUGAGUGUCAU
RNAcentral lists this ribosomal RNA (156 nucleotides) under Waitea circinata. RNAcentral's name for it is "5.8S ribosomal RNA". It matches the Rfam family "5.8S ribosomal RNA". From Rfam's summary of the family: 5.8S ribosomal RNA (5.8S rRNA) is a component of the large subunit of the eukaryotic ribosome. It is transcribed by RNA polymerase I as part of the 45S precursor that also contains 18S and 28S rRNA. Lineage: Eukaryota; Fungi; Basidiomycota; Agaricomycetes; Corticiales; Corticiaceae. The record is from RNAcentral.